RNAcentral lists this transfer RNA (43 nucleotides) under Leptura aurosericans. Its description in RNAcentral is "partial tRNA-Leu". The record is from RNAcentral. Lineage: Eukaryota; Metazoa; Arthropoda; Insecta; Coleoptera; Cerambycidae.
AUGGAUUUAAACCCCAUUUAUAAAGAUUCAACUUUUUUUAGAA